This 72-nucleotide transfer RNA is filed under the name Camelus bactrianus (Bactrian camel). It matches the Rfam family "tRNA". Rfam says of the family: Transfer RNA (tRNA) molecules are approximately 80 nucleotides in length. Their secondary structure includes four short double-helical elements and three loops (D, anti-codon, and T loops). Further hydrogen bonds mediate the characteristic L-shaped molecular structure. tRNAs have two regions of fundamental functional importance: the anti-codon, which is responsible for specific mRNA codon recognition, and the 3' end, to which the tRNAs corresponding amino acid is attached (by aminoacyl-tRNA synthetases). tRNAs cope with the degeneracy of the genetic code in two manners: having more than one tRNA (with a specific anti-codon) for a particular amino acid; and 'wobble' base-pairing, i.e. permitting non-standard base-pairing at the 3rd anti-codon position. RNAcentral also lists the same sequence under 1 other name. Lineage: Eukaryota; Metazoa; Chordata; Mammalia; Artiodactyla; Camelidae. The record is from Rfam by way of RNAcentral.
GAGGGUAUAGGACAGUGAUAGCGUACAUACUUAGCAUGCAUGGGGUCCUGGGUUCAAUCCCCAGUACCUCCA